GACGAACGCUGGCGGCGUGCUUAACACAUGCAAGUCGAACGGAAAGGCCUGCUUUCCCUUGUGGAUUGCGGGUACUCGAGUGGCGAACGGGUGAGUAACACGUGAGUGAUCUGCCCCCAACUUGGGUAUAAGCCUGGGAAACUGGGUCUAAUUCCCGAUAGGACUGCAGGGUGGUGCCUGUGGUGGAAAACGAUUUUCUAGUGGUUGGGGAUGAGCUCGCGGCCUAUCAGCUUGUUGGUGGGGUAAUGGCCUACCAAGGCGGCGACGGGUAGCCGGCCUGGGAGGGUGGACGGCGACAUUGAGACUGGGAUACGGCCCAGACUCCUGCGGGAGGCAGCGGUGGGGAAGAUUGCACAAUGGGCGGGAGCCUGAUGCAGCGACGCCGCGAGGGGGAUGACGGCCUUCGGGUUGUAAACUCCUUUCGACCGCGAGGAAGCCACCUGGUUGGAAGGGUGGUGACGGUAGUGGUAGAAGAAGCACCGGCUAACUACGUG
Molecule: ribosomal RNA, 494 nt
Filed under: uncultured bacterium
Lineage: Bacteria
Description: partial 16S ribosomal RNA
Rfam family: Bacterial small subunit ribosomal RNA
Source: RNAcentral